RNAcentral lists this transfer RNA (73 nucleotides) under Camelus bactrianus (Bactrian camel). It matches the Rfam family "tRNA". Rfam says of the family: Transfer RNA (tRNA) molecules are approximately 80 nucleotides in length. Their secondary structure includes four short double-helical elements and three loops (D, anti-codon, and T loops). The record is from Rfam by way of RNAcentral. Lineage: Eukaryota; Metazoa; Chordata; Mammalia; Artiodactyla; Camelidae. RNAcentral also lists the same sequence under 2 other names.
GAGAGUAUAGCUCAAGUGGUAGAGUGCAGGCUUAGCCUGCGUGAAGUCCUGGGUUCAAUCCCCAGUACCUCCU